UGCCAGCCUCCGCGGUACUACUGAUUGUCCAAGCGUUAUCCGGAUUUAUUAGGUUUAAAGGGUCCGCAGGCGGGAUAUUAAGUCAGUGGUGAAAGCCUACAGCUCAACUGUAGAACUGCCAUUGAUACUGAUAUUCUUGAGUGUGGUUGAAGUGGGCGGAACAUGUCAUGUAGCGGUGAAAUGCAUAGAUAUGACAUAGAACACCAAUUGCGAAGGCAGCUCACUAAGCCAUUACUGACGCUGAGGGACGAAAGCGUGGGGAGCGAACAGGAUUAGAUA
Molecule: ribosomal RNA, 279 nt
Filed under: uncultured bacterium
Lineage: Bacteria
Description: partial 16S ribosomal RNA
Rfam family: Bacterial small subunit ribosomal RNA
Source: RNAcentral